CGGCAGCCUACACAUGCAAGUCGGACGGCAGCAGGUCCUUCGGGAUGCUGGCGAGUGGCGGACGGGUGAGUAAUGCGUAGGAACCUAUCCUUUUGUGGGGGACAACCCAGGGAAACUUGGGCUAAUACCGCAUAAGCCCUGAGGGGGAAAGCGGGGGAUCUUCGGACCUCGUGCUGAAGGAGGGGCCUACGUCCGAUUAGCUAGUUGGUGGGGUAAAGGCCUACCAAGGCGACGAUCGGUAGCUGGUCUGAGAGGACGACCAGCCACACUGGGACUGAGACACGGCCCAGACUCCUACGGGAGGCAGCAGAGGGGAAUUUUUCGCAAUGGGGGCAACCCUGACGAAGCAAUGCCGCGUGGAUGAAGAAGGCCUUCGGGUUGUAAAGUCCUUUCGUGGGGGACGAAAAGGCGGAUCCGAAUACGGUCUGCUAUUGACGUGAACCCAAGAAGAAGCACCGGCUAACUCCGUGCCAGCAGCCGCGGUAAU
Molecule: ribosomal RNA, 487 nt
Filed under: uncultured bacterium
Lineage: Bacteria
Description: bacterial SSU rRNA
Rfam family: Bacterial small subunit ribosomal RNA
Source: RNAcentral